CCUGCAGAGGUUUCCUGAAACUUUAAUCUCUCAGUCUGCUUCUGAUGCUCAAAAUUAACUUUUCCACCGUAUUCUAGUUUUUUCAGCGGCUCCCAGACUGACAGUUGACUUUUUGAUUGUUAAAUUCAUGAUAAAUGUUAAAGUCUAGAAUCUGCACUUGUUGCAGGUUUUGUUCUCUUCAUGUUUUGAAGGAUGAGUCACUGAGAAAAACGAUCAGUCAGUCAGCUUCUCAUCAGGGAAAUGAUGAGUUCAGCAGAAAUCACAUCAGACCACCAACAAACAGCCUAAAGCAGAAACAAACUGUGAACACAUCAACACGUCAUCACAUCAAGCUUUUCUCCUCCAGCAGCCGCAGAGCAACACGAUGCUUCAUGGGGAGGCGGGUUUGUCUUCAUGCGGGAACUGUAAAGGUUCAUUCUGCAAAACAACUUUUGCCCAGACCAGCUUUUACUGUCAAAGUCCUGGAACUCGCUACCUAAAUACUGAAAAUCUGCUGCAAACUUCACCACCUUUAAGAGACUUUCCAUCUCCUUUUUAAUUCAGCAACACACGUGUGCUCCUAGUCUUCUGUAAUUCCUAUUAAAAGUGUGUUAUUUAUUUAUUUUUUAACCAGGAAGUGCCUUGAGAUUAAAAUUCUAUUUUUCGAAGGAGACUUGGCAAAGGUUACCUCACUCUCUUUUUUUUCCCACAAAAAGCCCUGGACGGGUGCAUCUGCUGUAAACACAGUGAUACUUGCAUCAUAUUGUACCUGUCCCUGUCAAAUAAACCAUAAACAUACA
Long non-coding RNA from Micropterus salmoides (largemouth bass), 779 nucleotides. RefSeq lists it as uncharacterized. The transcript is spliced from 2 exons. Lineage: Eukaryota; Metazoa; Chordata; Actinopteri; Centrarchiformes; Centrarchidae. The record is from RefSeq and is a predicted model, not a curated record.